This 422-nucleotide ribosomal RNA is filed under the name uncultured bacterium. RNAcentral's name for it is "bacterial SSU rRNA". It matches the Rfam family "Bacterial small subunit ribosomal RNA", at positions 355 to 774 of the family's 1533-position model. The record is from RNAcentral.
UGAGGAAUAUUGGGCAAUGCCCGAAAGGGUGACCCAGCAACGCCGCGUGGAGGAUGAAGGUCGUAAGAUUGUAAACUCCUGUUAGAGGGGAAGAAUAACUAAGUUUGGAGCUUAGUAUGACUGUACCCUCAGAGAAAGCCCCGGCUAACUACGUGCCAGCAGCCGCGGUAAUACGUAGGGGGCAAGCGUUGUCCGGAUUUACUGGGUGUAAAGGGCGCGCAGGCGGAAUGGAAAGUCAGUGGUGAAAUCCUACAGCUUAACUGUAGAACUGCCUUUGAUACUUUUAUUCUUGAGUUCGGGAGAGAGAGACGGAAUUCCAGGUGUAGUGGUGAAAUACGUAGAUAUCUGGAAGAACACCAGUUGCGAAGGCGGUCUCUUGGUCCGACACUGACGCUGAGGCGCGAAAGCGUGGGGAGCAAACA